This 1414-nucleotide ribosomal RNA is filed under the name Mycobacterium sp. RNAcentral's name for it is "bacterial SSU rRNA". It matches the Rfam family "Bacterial small subunit ribosomal RNA". The record is from RNAcentral. Lineage: Bacteria; Bacillati; Actinomycetota; Actinomycetes; Mycobacteriales; Mycobacteriaceae.
CCCCUUCGGGGGUACUCGAGUGGCGAACGGGUGAGUAACACGUGGGCAAUCUGCCCUGCACUUCGGGAUAAGCCUGGGAAACUGGGUCUAAUACCGGAUAGGACCACGAGACGCAUGUCUUGUGGUGGAAAGCUUUUGCGGUGUGGGAUGGGCCCGCGGCCUAUCAGCUUGUUGGUGGGGUGACGGCCUACCAAGGCGACGACGGGUAGCCGGCCUGAGAGGGUGUCCGGCCACACUGGGACUGAGAUACGGCCCAGACUCCUACGGGAGGCAGCAGUGGGGAAUAUUGCACAAUGGGCGCAAGCCUGAUGCAGCGACGCCGCGUGGGGGAUGACGGCCUUCGGGUUGUAAACCUCUUUCAGCAGGGACGAAGCGCAAGUGACGGUACCUGCAGAAGAAGCACCGGCCAACUACGUGCCAGCAGCCGCGGUAAUACGUAGGGUGCGAGCGUUGUCCGGAAUUACUGGGCGUAAAGAGCUCGUAGGUGGUUUGUCGCGUUGUUCGUGAAAUCUCACGGCUUAACUGUGAGCGUGCGGGCGAUACGGGCAGACUAGAGUACUGCAGGGGAGACUGGAAUUCCUGGUGUAGCGGUGGAAUGCGCAGAUAUCAGGAGGAACACCGGUGGCGAAGGCGGGUCUCUGGGCAGUAACUGACGCUGAGGAGCGAAAGCGUGGGGAGCGAACAGGAUUAGAUACCCUGGUAGUCCACGCCGUAAACGGUGGGUACUAGGUGUGGGUUUCCUUCCUUGGGAUCCGUGCCGUAGCUAACGCAUUAAGUACCCCGCCUGGGGAGUACGGCCGCAAGGCUAAAACUCAAAGGAAUUGACGGGGGCCCGCACAAGCGGCGGAGCAUGUGGAUUAAUUCGAUGCAACGCGAAGAACCUUACCUGGGUUUGACAUGCACAGGACGCGUCUAGAGAUAGGCGUUCCCUUGUGGCCUGUGUGCAGGUGGUGCAUGGCUGUCGUCAGCUCGUGUCGUGAGAUGUUGGGUUAAGUCCCGCAACGAGCGCAACCCUUGUCUCAUGUUGCCAGCGGGUAAUGCCGGGGACUCGUGAGAGACUGCCGGGGUCAACUCGGAGGAAGGUGGGGAUGACGUCAAGUCAUCAUGCCCCUUAUGUCCAGGGCUUCACACAUGCUACAAUGGCCGGUACAAAGGGCUGCGAUGCCGCAAGGUUAAGCGAAUCCUUUUAAAGCCGGUCUCAGUUCGGAUCGGGGUCUGCAACUCGACCCCGUGAAGUCGGAGUCGCUAGUAAUCGCAGAUCAGCAACGCUGCGGUGAAUACGUUCCCGGGCCUUGUACACACCGCCCGUCACGUCAUGAAAGUCGGUAACACCCGAAGCCAGUGGCCUAACCCUUGGGAGGGAGCUGUCGAAGGUGGGAUCGGCGAUUGGGACGAAGUCGUAACAAGGUAGCCG